GACGAACGCUGGCGGCGUGCUUAACACAUGCCAGUCGAACGGACAGGCCCUGCUUUUGUGGGGUGCUCGAGUGGCGAACGGGUGAGUAACACGUGAGUAACCUGCCCUUGUCUUUGUGAUAACUUCAGGAAACUGGGGCUAAUACCGGAUAGGAGCUCCUGCUGCAUGGUGGGGGUUGGAAAGUUUCGGCGGUUGGGGAUGGACUCGCGGCUUAUGAGCUUGUUUGUGGGGUAGUGGCUUACCAAGGCUUUGACGGGUAGCCGGCCUGAGAGGGGGACCGGCCACAUGGGGACUGCGAUACGGCCCAGACGCCUACGGGAGGCAGCAGUGGGGAAUAUGGCACAAUGGGCGGAAGCCUGAUGCAGCAACGCCGCGUGCGGGAUGACGGCCUUCGGGUUGUAAACCGCUUUCGCCUGUGACGAAGCGUGAGUGACGGUAAUGGGUAAAGAAGCACCGGCUAACUACGUG
Molecule: ribosomal RNA, 468 nt
Filed under: uncultured bacterium
Lineage: Bacteria
Description: partial 16S ribosomal RNA
Rfam family: Bacterial small subunit ribosomal RNA
Source: RNAcentral